UAAGACGGAGGGCGCGAACGUUGUUCGGUGUCACUGGGCUUAGAGAGCACGUAGGCGGCCUGGUUAGUGGGAGGUGAAAGCUCCGGGCUCAACCCGGAAAUCGCCUUCCAAACGGCCAGGCUUGAGGGCCGGAGGGGGAAGCGGAACGUCAUGUGUAGCGGUGAAAUGCGUUGAUACAUGACGGAACGCCGGAGGCGAAGGCGGCUUCCUGGUCGGCUUCUGACGCUGAGGUGCGAAAGCGUGGGGAGCAAACGGGAUUAGAUACCCCGGUAGUCCACGCCGUAAACGAUGGGCACUAGGUAGCGGGGGUUCCGAUACUUUCGCUGCCGGAGCGUAAGCGAUAAGUGCCCCGCCUGGGGAGUACGGUCGCAAGGCUG
Molecule: ribosomal RNA, 377 nt
Filed under: uncultured bacterium
Lineage: Bacteria
Description: bacterial SSU rRNA
Rfam family: Bacterial small subunit ribosomal RNA
Source: RNAcentral